This is a non-coding RNA of Podarcis lilfordi (Lilford's wall lizard), 1283 nucleotides long. The record is from the annotation of a GenBank genome assembly. Lineage: Eukaryota; Metazoa; Chordata; Lepidosauria; Squamata; Lacertidae.
AUUAAUUAUUACUCCCUUGAGAGAGCUUGACCAAUCAGGGAGCCGUCUCCAUGCCUCUGUUAUCACCAGGCAGACUUACUCCUUCACAUGACCAGUUCUGGCUGUCUGCCAAGCCUUAAUUGCCUCUGUGUGAGUAGCUGCAUGUACACAGUUUCCCAACAAACUCAUACCAAGAACAAACUUAGUUGGUCUCUAAGAUGCUAUUAGACAAAUUUUUUGUUUUUAUUUUAUAUUUCAAGUUACACUACGUAGGGUUGAGGGAACCUGUGCCCUCCCCUAGAUGUUGUUGAACUUAAACUCCCAUCGGCCAAGGAUGAUGGGAGUUGUAGUUCAGCAACUUAUGUAGGACUACAGGUUAGCCACCCCUACUGUGUACACACUGAAAUCAGUUCAGUUCCCCCAAGAUCUACCAGGAUGAGUUGCUGUGUUCACUAGGCCUGGACUCCUGAGCAGACCUUACUUCCUGGAAUAAAAAGUUGUGUGGUUUAUUGCGGACUUGCUCUUGACACCCACUCCUGACAAUAGAUAAUGAAACAUGCAUUGGGUGGAGGGCAUUUGGAGGGUGUUUAUAGCGGAUGCUCCUCACUUUACACUGUUUUACUUAUAUACACAAGGACCUGGAAAAUAACCCCCACAUAAGUGGAGGGAUUUCUGUAUCCUUUUCUGAGGUGAGGCAACCAGAACUUUAAGCAGUAUUCCAAGUGUGGCCACACCAUAUAUUUGUAUAUUGGUGUUAUGAUAUCAGCAGUUUUGUUUUCAAUUCCUAAUGAUUCUAGCAUUGAAUUCUCCUUUUUAUUCACAGCUGCCGCCACUGUUCAUCCUCAGGGCUUUCCUACUUGAAUACAUGCUCCUCUUUUCCUGUACCCAUAAGUUCUUGCUCCAGAACACCCAUUUUUUAUUUCAUUUUUAUUGUGGUGAGCCUCUUUGAGCUCAGCUCGGUUUUGGGGGAAGCAGUGUGCAUCUAUCAAGCCAAACCAAAUGAAAUUAAGUAAAGCUGGAAUUUCACCAUCCCCUUGAGCAUCCUUUUGUAUUAUGGGAUGGAUUUGCUGUGCCAUUUCCAGCCAUGUGAUGUUAAGGAGUAAAUAAUUGUGUCCAAUUCUAUCCUUGGCUUUGGCCUAGAAUAUUUUCACCAAAUUUGUUGGCAGAGGGAGGGGGAAAGCCCGGAAGUGAUCCUGUCCCUUUAACAGAUAGAGUAAACAGAAAUACACCAAAUGAGCGAGGAUGUGGUUAUCAAAAAGCGUCAUUUGCUUAAUAAAGUCUGCGAAAAAGCAGCGGUGUCUGGC